Molecule: long non-coding RNA, 3831 nt
Filed under: Salmo salar (Atlantic salmon)
Lineage: Eukaryota; Metazoa; Chordata; Actinopteri; Salmoniformes; Salmonidae
Description: lncRNA (ENSSSAG00000114755.1)
Source: RNAcentral
CUACAUUUCCUGGUUGUAAGCAAACCGCAAUAUCCAGAAUUCAUAGCGAUUUCAGGACAUAGUAUUGCCCCAGUGAAGGUGUAUCCAGUUGAUCUGGAGAAAUAUGAAAAAGUCUGUUUAUAGCCAGCACUUUCAACCAGGGGAUUUUGAAACUGAACUGAAGUCUCAACGGAUGGGGAUGCCAGGUCACUAAACGUUGAAAAGUCAUGCUAUUCCAUCGAUUUACCCCUUCACUUCAAAGAGGAAGGCAUCCAUCGGCCAACAUCAGUGCAGCAGAAAAUAAAUCGAGCUGAGGCAACGUAGCUAACUAGCUAGUGAACUACAUCUGUUUAUGUAAACCAAAAUCGAGCUCACUAGCUUUAAUAUGCUUGCUGACAUUCCAGAACAAAUCAAUGUAAUUAGCCUGGCGAUGUGAUUUUUAAGUUUGCAAGCUAACGUUAGCUUUGUUAGGUUACAUUACCUGCAGCCUACCGGACCGUAUCUAACCAUUAGCUAGCUAGCUAACUAACUACCGCAGAGGCAAACGUGGCUAGGAGUUCUAUUUAGAGUCCGAUUCAAUCAACAUCUGCAGCAGCAUCAACAUCAAGCUCAGCACCAGGAACUAGUACUAAUCCUGCUGCUGAUGAUGACAACCUCUCCACCAUCUUUAAUAGUAGACCCAUUGGAUGAAAGCUUUCAACUGGGAACAAGCUCAAGCUCAACAUAAUCAGACUCGAAAAAAAGCCGGGACAGCCAAAGGAGACUUGCAGUACAAACAAAUCUUCUGCAAGAGGUGGGUGGUGAAGAAGGUGUACGAGCCCAGAACCCACUACUUCAGGGAGAGGCUUGUCCACCUGACUGUGGAGCAAAGAAAGGACCAGAGAGUUGUAUACAAGGAGCCAGAGUCACAGCUCCCCAAACUCAACAUCCCUGCCAACAUCGCCACAGCGCCAAAGCCUGCUAAACCCGCUGCCAUGACCCAACACAAGACAAGGUUCACCAGCUGAAGAACAUUCUGGAACAUUAAACCAACACAACAUCCCUAUUCAGUUAGACUGAUGUUGUAGUAUAAUAUUACUCCAGUGCUAGCCUCCCUACACUGGCUUCCUGUUAAGGCAAGGGCUGAUUUCAAGGUUUUACUGCUAACCUACAAAGCAUUACAUGGGCUUGCUCCUACCUAUCUUUCCGAUUUGGUCCUGCCGUACAUACCUACACGUACGCUACGGUGACAAGAUGCAGGCCUCCUAAUUGUUCCUAGAAUUUCUAAGCAAACGGCUGGAGGUAGGGCUUUCUCCUAUAGAGCUCCAUUUUUAUGGAAUGGUCUGCCUACCAAUGUGAGAGACGCAGACUCAGUCUCAACCUUUAAGUCUUUACUGAAGACUUAUCUCUUCAGUAGGUCCUAUGAUUAAGUAUAGUCUGGCCCAGGAGUGUGAAGGUGAACGGAAAGGCUGGAGCAACGAACCGCCCUUGCUGUCUCUGCCUUGCCGGUUCCCCUCUUUCCACUGGGAUUCUCUGCCUCUAACCCUUUUACAGGGGCUGAGUCACUGGCUUACUGGUGUUCUUCCAUGCCGUCCAUGGGAGGGGUGCGUCACUUGAGUGGGUUGAGUCACUGACGUGGUCUUCCUGUCUGGGUUGGCGCCCCCCCUUGGGUUGUGCCAUGGCGGAGAUCGUUGUGGGAUUAUACUCGGCCUUGUCUUAGGACGGACCUGAGCCCUAGGACCAUGCCUCAGGACUACCUGGUAUGAUGACUCCUUGCUGUCCCCAGUCCACCUGGCCGUGCUGCUGCUCCAGUUUCAACUGUUCUGCCUGCGGCUAUGGAACCCUGACCUGUUCACCGGACGUGCUUGUUGCACCCUCGACAACUACUAUGAUUAUUAUUAUUUGACCAUGCUGGUCAUUUAUGAACAUUUUAACAUCUUGACCAUGUUCUGUUAUAAUAUCCACCCUGCACAGCCAGAAGAGGACUGGCCACCCCUCAUAGCCUGGUUCCUCUCUAGGUUUCUUCCUAGGUUUUUGGCCUUUCUAGGGAGUUUUUCCUAGGGAGUUUUUCCUAGCCACCGUGCUUCUUUCACAUGCUUUGCUUGCUGUUUGGGGUUUUAGGCUGGGUUUCUGUACAGCACUUUGAGAUAUCAGCUGAUGUACGAAGGGCUAUAUAAAAAUAAAUUUGAUUGAUUAAUAUAGAAUACCUAGUAUGCUCACAACUGCAUUGUGGUAUAGAUAUUGCUAGCUCUUGUACAUAUGUUUCAUACAUAUGUUUAACAAGUCAGACGCGAAGGAUUUACUUCAGACGGGAUUUACCCUCAUCCACAUAAUCUGCCUUUACCAUCGGUCCUAUUAGCCAACGUUCAAUCAUUGGAUAAUAAAAUAGACAAACUAUGAUCACGUAUAUCCUACCAACGGGAUAUAAAAAAAUGUAAUAUCUUAUGUUUAACUGAGUCGUGGCUGAACGACGACAUGAAUAACAUGCAGCUGGCGGGUUUUAAGCUGUAUCGGCAGGAUAGGACAGCGGCGAUCUAUGUAUAUUUGUAAACAACAGCUGGUGCAUGAAAUCUAAUGAAGGAUAUGGCUUGUGGUGAGAUAUUGUGUAGCUAAAGGUAAUGUGUCAGCCUAUUAAUUAGGAAAAUAUAAAAAAUUGCCUAUUACUAGGCUAUUCAAAAUAAUGGACUAUAAUUGUAGAAUAACUCUGUUAGCUGCUCUGCACAAUCAAUGAACCAACAGCGUUGCCUAGACCAGUGGUUCCCAAACUGUGGACAUGCCCCCUAGGGGGGCUGCGACGGGUCAGCAAGGGCGGCACGGGGGUCCCCCACCUCCCAAAUGAAAAAAAUAAAUAAUAAUGGAACACAGUCCGGCUUUAAACUUUCUGUUGAAAGUUGUAAUAGUAGAAUGCACAAGGUGCAAAUUCGAAAUCGGGUAGCGCAUCAUCAGUUCCUCUUGUCAUUACAGUCAUUGCAUACCUUAGAGAGCUAUUUAUAACUUCAGAAAUCAACUAGCCCAUGUCAGCUAAUGUUUUCUUAUCUAGGUUUUUUAGCCCAUAGAUAUUGUUGUAAUUUUUUUGUCACUCAUUUAUGUUUAUUUAUUUUUUGUAUUUUACCCCCCUCUUUGUCCCCAAUUUUGAUCUUGUCUCCUUGCUGCAACUCCCCAACGGGCUCGGGAGGCGAAGUUCGAGUAAUGCGUCCCCCGAAACCACGCUUCUUAGCACCCGCCUGCUUCCCCUGAACCACGCUUUUUUGCACACGCCUGCUUAAUCAAGAAGCCAGCCGCACCAAUGUUUUGGAGGAAACGCCAUUCAACUGACGACCGAAGUCUGCCUGCAGGCACCCGGCCAGCCACAAAGAGUCACUAGAGCGCAAUGAGCCAAGUAAAGCGCCUCCCGGCCAAACCCUCCCCUAAACCCGGAUGACGCUGGGCCAAUUUUGCGCCGCCCUAUUGGACUCCCGAUCACAGCCGGUUGGGAUACAGCCCGAGAUCUAACCCGGGUCUGUAGUGAUGCCUCUAGUGCUGUGAUGCAGUGUCUUAGACUGCUGCACCACUCGGGAGGCCAGGCACAAAUUUUUUUGUCACUCAAAAUACACAACAAACAUUAGACAUGGCAAAAUGUAUAGUAUUGCAAGAAAAUUUGCUUUUAAACUGCAAAAUGUGCUUUGCACCACAUGACAAAUUGUGUAUAAUUGCUUGAAAUAAAAUUGCAAAAUUCUCUCCACCAACAAGAGGGUUGUGAACAGUUUGUGUCAUGAACAGUGCUUGUGCCCAUAGAAAAAGACGUGGUCUAUGCGCGCAGGGGGGGCGCGGGAUGUUCUCCAAGUUUGUGAAUCCCUGGCCUAGACCAGGGAUGGGCAACUUUGAUGGGGGUGG